GAAAGCUCUUGGAAUAUAUCAAGUUCCUCCACCACUGUAAACUGGGCUCUUGUUCAUAUGCUCCAAGUGUGGCAUUUCCAUCAGCCUUAAAUAUUUAUCCUGCAUCACUUCGUUAAGGUGUUGGUCCAGAUUCUCAGGUUUUGAUUUUUUUGGAUCUGAACCCACCCCUGCUGCACUAGGAGGCAAGGUCCCAAGCACUGGACUGCCAGGGAAGUCCAGAGAAACCCUGCUCUAAGUGAUCCAACUGGGCAAGACUUGGAUUUGUAUAAAAGUGGUGGACGUUGGAAUAUACCUCAGGAGAUGAUUGAUGUUGACUUUUCAUUUCCUGGAAGGAAAAGAUCCUCAAAAACUACCUAACAUUCUCUGAAGCUAGAUUCUGCUCCUUGCUCCUGGAUCUCACUCAAGGAUGAGCAAGACAGUUACGCCUCUCAGGAAGCUUGCAGAUUUCAGAUCCCAGGGCAGCCGCCCAACAAAGCACCAGAGCUUGGCUCCCAGCGGGGCAUAUUCCCAGAGCAGCAUCCAUCCGGGAUCCGCAUCCGGCAGGCCUUGCUCUGCUCUGCAUCCUCGCUUAGGAUGGCAUAGGUGUUGAUUACACCGUGUUCCCAUUCUCUGCUUCCAACCCAUGGGCUAACGAAUGAGGGCAGUCCUCGUGGGUUCUGAUUAGAAUCUUCACAUAUCCGUCCCUAAAUUUGCAGAAUAUCAUAAGCCAGAAAGACUGUGUGUGUGUGUGUGUGUGUGUGUGGUGAGAACCACAUAUUCGAACCAUUCCCUAUUUCUGCACCUCAUCCUGCCAAUUACAAUCUGCUUGGUGGUGUGAAACUGACAGCCCGCAGCAGUGAUGGAGACAGGAGAACGAUGAACAAGGGCUUUGUGCAUUCUCAGCUUUAGAGAGAAUGUUCAGUGGGGCGGACAGGCAUGUAACUGGCAGGUUUAGGAAUCAGUAAAAACCAAGAACUGGAAGUCCUAAUUUAUCGUCUGUUUCAGUACAAGGCUAGACACAGGCUAUUUAAUAUAAUGCAUUGUUUACAAGUGGAGGAGAGUGGAAGUUAUUGAUGCAUUACAAAUGCAGGCAAAUGCAUCUCAUAAGCCAAGGGGUAGGUAAUAACAAUUGCAGGAGACUAAAUUUGACUUUAAUCCCCUGAAGAAUGGCAUGCAUACAGCUU
Bos taurus (domestic cattle) is the source of this 1163-nucleotide long non-coding RNA. NCBI's taxonomy places the organism in Eukaryota, Metazoa, Chordata, Mammalia, Artiodactyla, Bovidae. The record is from Ensembl.